RNAcentral lists this ribosomal RNA (274 nucleotides) under uncultured bacterium. RNAcentral's name for it is "partial 16S ribosomal RNA". It matches the Rfam family "Bacterial small subunit ribosomal RNA", at positions 523 to 796 of the family's 1533-position model. The record is from RNAcentral.
AUACAGAGGGUGCGAGCGUUAAUGGGAAUUACUGGGCGUAAAGCGCGCGUAGGCGGCUUAUUAAGUCAGAUGUGAAAUCCCCGGGCUCAACCUGGGAACUGCAUCUGAUACUGGUAAGCUAGAGUUUUGGAGAGGGAAGUAGAAUUUCAGGUGUAGCGGUGAAAUGCAUAGAGAUCUGAAGGAAUACCAGUGGCGAAGGCGACUUCCUGGCCAAAAACUGACGCUGAGGUGCGAAAGCGUGGGUAGCAAACGGGAUUAGAAACCCCAGUAGUCC